RNAcentral lists this ribosomal RNA (1157 nucleotides) under Bacillus velezensis. RNAcentral's name for it is "bacterial SSU rRNA". It matches the Rfam family "Bacterial small subunit ribosomal RNA", at positions 138 to 1281 of the family's 1533-position model. Lineage: Bacteria; Bacillati; Bacillota; Bacilli; Caryophanales; Bacillaceae. The record is from RNAcentral.
CUGGGAUAACUCCGGGAAACCGGGGCUAAUACCGGAUGGUUGUCUGGACCGCAUGGUUCAGACAUAAAAGGUGGCUUCGGCUACCACUUACAGAUGGACCCGCGGCGCAUUAGCUAGUUGGUGAGGUAACGGCUCACCAAGGCGACGAUGCGUAGCCGACCUGAGAGGGUGAUCGGCCACACUGGGACUGAGACACGGCCCAGACUCCUACGGGAGGCAGCAGUAGGGAAUCUUCCGCAAUGGACGAAAGUCUGACGGAGCAACGCCGCGUGAGUGAUGAAGGUUUUCGGAUCGUAAAGCUCUGUUGUUAGGGAAGAACAAGUGCCGUUCAAAUAGGGCGGCACCUUGACGGUACCUAACCAGAAAGCCACGGCUAACUACGUGCCAGCAGCCGCGGUAAUACGUAGGUGGCAAGCGUUGUCCGGAAUUAUUGGGCGUAAAGGGCUCGCAGGCGGUUUCUUAAGUCUGAUGUGAAAGCCCCCGGCUCAACCGGGGAGGGUCAUUGGAAACUGGGGAACUUGAGUGCAGAAGAGGAGAGUGGAAUUCCACGUGUAGCGGUGAAAUGCGUAGAGAUGUGGAGGAACACCAGUGGCGAAGGCGACUCUCUGGUCUGUAACUGACGCUGAGGAGCGAAAGCGUGGGGAGCGAACAGGAUUAGAUACCCUGGUAGUCCACGCCGUAAACGAUGAGUGCUAAGUGUUAGGGGGUUUCCGCCCCUUAGUGCUGCAGCUAACGCAUUAAGCACUCCGCCUGGGGAGUACGGUCGCAAGACUGAAACUCAAAGGAAUUGACGGGGGCCCGCACAAGCGGUGGAGCAUGUGGUUUAAUUCGAAGCAACGCGAAGAACCUUACCAGGUCUUGACAUCCUCUGACAAUCCUAGAGAUAGGACGUCCCCUUCGGGGGCAGAGUGACAGGUGGUGCAUGGUUGUCGUCAGCUCGUGUCGUGAGAUGUUGGGUUAAGUCCCGCAACGAGCGCAACCCUUGAUCUUAGUUGCCAGCAUUCAGUUGGGCACUCUAAGGUGACUGCCGGUGACAAACCGGAGGAAGGUGGGGAUGACGUCAAAUCAUCAUGCCCCUUAUGACCUGGGCUACACACGUGCUACAAUGGACAGAACAAAGGGCAGCGAAACCGCGAGGUUAAGCCAAUCCCACAAAU